RNAcentral lists this ribosomal RNA (274 nucleotides) under uncultured bacterium. RNAcentral describes it as "partial 16S ribosomal RNA". It matches the Rfam family "Bacterial small subunit ribosomal RNA", at positions 523 to 796 of the family's 1533-position model. The record is from RNAcentral.
AUACGGAGGGUGCAAGCGUUAUCCGGAAUCACUGGGUUUAAAGGGUGCGUAGGCGGCUAAAUAAGUCAGAGGUGAAAUCUUUCCGCUUAACGGAAAAAUUGCCUUUGAAACUGUAUAGCUUGAAUGAAGUUGAGGUUAGCGGAAUGUGACAUGUAGCGGUGAAAUGCAUAGAUAUGUCAUAGAACACCAAAUGCGAAGGCAGCUAGCUAGGCUUGAAUUGACGCUGAGGCACGAAAGCGUGGGGAGCGAACAGGAUUAGAAACCCUAGUAGUCC